AAAAUAAUUCAAGUGACAUAAAAAUUCCAUGUUGUUUGAAGUAUAAAAGGCAGUAUUGCACUACCAAUGAUACACAGUUUAUUAAACCAGUAACAAUGAAGAUAAUAUUGUGCAUCGCUCUCGCUGUAGUCGUACUACAGAUCACCAACGUUUAUGGGCAAGACCAAGAUAGUUCACAAGGGUCAAAAGGACAAACGAAACAUCAGGGACAACGUCCGGAGCAUUCAUAUUCCCAAGGACCACCCCCACAUGCUAAAAAUAAUCAAGAGCAACGGUCACAGAAUCGAAGUUCACAAGAACAAGCAUCAUCUCAACAAGGUUCUCAGGGACAACAACAGUCACAAGACCCAUCUAAAUAGCGUCAAAAUCCCCAGUGACAACAUCCUUAAGUGAUGUUAAAUAAAUACAAUUAAAUACAACUGUUGUGAGAUUCCCAACAACAACGAUUACUUUCACUACUAAG
Molecule: long non-coding RNA, 463 nt
Organism: Bradysia coprophila
Lineage: Eukaryota; Metazoa; Arthropoda; Insecta; Diptera; Sciaridae
Source: RefSeq, a predicted model, not a curated record